Long non-coding RNA from Arabidopsis lyrata subsp. lyrata, 1151 nucleotides. RefSeq lists it as uncharacterized. The record is from RefSeq and is a predicted model, not a curated record. Lineage: Eukaryota; Viridiplantae; Streptophyta; Magnoliopsida; Brassicales; Brassicaceae. The transcript has 2 exons.
CCAUCAUUAACGGUAGUUCCUUAGCAAAAAUCUUAGGUAAUAACUAAUAAAAAUUAAAUGAUAAAUCACUAUUAAAGUUAACAAACGUUCCUUAACUAAGAGACAUUUUAUUCACCUAAGAGGUGGACACGUGUCUCACUAUCAAUCGUCGCGUUUUCUCUGCCUCUCUCUCUCUUCUUGCGACUGAGAAACCAAAUAACCAAAAACUUCAAAUCUUCGUCUCCUCCGUUGAUUGUUACAGCCGGUGAAUCGGGGGAUGGCAUCUUCUUCCUCUCUCUCUCUCUCUCUCUCUCACGUGUUUCUCUUCAAAGGUGAAGGAUAUUUAGAGUUUAAUCGGACAAGUCUCCGAUGUAAAAACGAAGAAGAUUACUUCAAUUGAGAUUGAGAGGCAUAGAGAGAGAUUUGAUUAUUCGAUCGAAUCAAGCUUUGUUUGUUAGUAGCGGGAAUAGCUUAUGCAGAAAUCUCAAUCCAAGCACAGUCUUCACUCAUCUUCCUUCUCUUCGGCCUCCGCCACCGCUGUUUCUGAUGCCACCACUACUCCUUUCGCUUCUAGGUUUCUCUUCGGGUAUGUAUUGUCUCACUCUCUCUGUAUCGGAUUUGGAUUUGUUUGACUUUCACUGGAUCGUGGUGGAUUGAGUUAUUGGAUUUGAUUACUCUGUUUUCUGAUUUUGAUCAGGAUUAGGGUUAGUUCAUAAUUGAUCAUCUUCUAUUGUUAAAUCGUAACAUCUUCUUCACUCCUCUCGUUGGUGUGAUCAUGGCCACCACUAAGCAGGUUAGAAGAGAGAGUCACAUGCUUAUAACUUGGCUUCAAAAACCGGUUAUGAUCAUUAAACCAUGGAUCUCUGGUUUCACAUACAAUCUAGUCUUGGUUUGCUAUGUUGCGUUUUGGGAUGAAGUUACUCUUGCAACACAUGAAGCAGAGGGGUCAUAAGAUCAAUGAGAAUGAUCACAUUGGAACAGAGAAACAAAACAGAGAGAAUAAGAGAAAGAGGAAACUGACCUCAAAGAAGUGUGAAGAGGUCAGAAUGUCAACAAAUACAUGUAUAAGAAAAUGGUCUUACUAAAUUUUGGGCGAGUAACAAUUUCAAAGGUUGUUGUUAUCAAUGAAAGAGCAUCAUAAUAACCAAAUAUCAAUACUGCAGUUUCUCAUU